Long non-coding RNA from Solea senegalensis (Senegalese sole), 592 nucleotides. RefSeq lists it as uncharacterized. NCBI's taxonomy places the organism in Eukaryota, Metazoa, Chordata, Actinopteri, Pleuronectiformes, Soleidae. The record is from RefSeq and is a predicted model, not a curated record. The transcript is spliced from 2 exons.
AGAGUCCAACCAGAGGGACAAGAAACGUCCACCUGUAAGAGACCAGCGGGGACGUCAAAGGGUAAAGAGGCGACACUCCAGAGACGGAGCCCGGCAGCACAUGGCAUGCGGUGUGGCUCCGUCUCUCGCGACACAGCUCUUCCCAUCGCUGAGACGAGGACGGGAGUCGGACGAGACCUCGGCAGAAGACAGAGACGUACAUCCUGAGGACAAAAAGAUUGACAAAGGUCCAGUGCGAGAGAAUCAGUGACUUGUUAAGAUGAGACUGCAGAUUGUCAUCUGAGGGGUCAGUGAUGAAAUCUAUGGAUGAGACACUUUUUUAACUGAUGAACUGCACUUGUCCUUUUUACUUGGACUUGUUUUGUCCUGAAAGCAUUCAUGAAGUCUACUGCCAUGACAACGUGACUGGCAGAACUGUAGUGUUAAGAGCUUUGAGUGGUCAUGAAGAUUAGAAAAGCACUAUAUACUGUAUGAGUCUUAUUCUAAGGCUAUGAUUAAGUGAUUAUAGUUAGAUAUAGAUUACAGUGAUUAUGCCCUUACACAAGCAUACACAUUGUAUUUCAUUUCCGACAAUAAACCCGCCUAAAUGUGA